Molecule: long non-coding RNA, 2137 nt
Organism: Daphnia magna
Lineage: Eukaryota; Metazoa; Arthropoda; Branchiopoda; Diplostraca; Daphniidae
Exons: 6
Source: RefSeq, a predicted model, not a curated record
UUGCUGCCUGUCGAUCAUGGAAGAGAACUUAUAUAAAGCCCUGCACCACGAGUUUAAUUCUUUUCGACGCUGAUCGUCGGCAUUGCUGGUUGUAGCAUGACUAGAUGAUCCCAGUUUGCAUUUCGACAGAUCGCACGGUGUUGGCUUAGGAAGUCAAAGUAACUUAAAUUUUAAGAUUGUGCUGGGCAUAUUCACUCAAAAUUAAUUACGCUUGGCUUUUAAAAUCUACACUUGACAAGUUAUUUUGCAAACAUGUGGUCAUGGCAAGGUGGCUAGUGUGUUUUAGGUGAUACGGUAGUCGAGAUUGAAUUGUGAAAUCCAGUUAUUGUAGGUGGAAUUAAGAUAUCUAGGCAUUUAACGGAGUUUUCUGAUGGUUUGUUCUGCUGUCCAUGAGGCUGCACUGUACAAUGGAAUUCUAGUGGUACUACUUGUUGCCAAAGCAGUUUGGGCUACCCUAUCUGUACUUUGUGAUUGUGGCAUGAUGGAAUUCAAAUAUGAAUUUGACCAGUGCUUGGUGGUGAUGCAGCUUGAUGACGUGCUACUCCACAUGGAAAGUACCAUUAAAUAUUUAAAAACAAAAUUUAUGUACGUUAACAAAAUACUUUGAAAAAGAACAAGUUUGCAGAAGUUGUGCUUGUGAGUGAAAGUUCUUCUUUUCACUGUGGUUAUUUGGUGGUGGUAAGAAUGCUGGCAGGGAAGUUUUCAUUGUUUCCGUAAGCCUAUGUUAAUUCUCGAUUCUUUUCAGAGUUAGCCUGUUGCUUCAUGGACCAUUUUUCUUGACUUUUAUAUUAGUUUGCUACUGUAGUUCACUCUUUGCUUGAUUGUUUUUUUUUAGUUUCUGUUAAUAAUAGACUGGUUUCCCAAUCUGUGGUUCACUGUUGUGGAUAUUAAAAUUUAAGCUGAAUGUUUUAGAAUGAUCUAUUGGUUGUCACUUAGAUAGCUUAAUUGGCAUUUGGACAAAGCGCAAUGUGCUUGCUUGUCUUGAUCACAUUGUCUUAUCCUGUGGUGGUUUUCUUUGGGUGAGUUAAAUACUAUAUGAUAUUUUAAGGUGUGAUUAACUCUUAUUUAAUUCUAUCCUAAAGUUUGGCAUGUUUUACAAAACCGAUUAUUCAUGUGUUAUGAAUUGAGAAAUUUCCUUUCUACGUAUUCCAUGUGAUAACUUUUUAUAGGUAGAAUAAUUAUAUAACUUGGUUUUGACAAGGUCUGUGAAGCUUGUUUGCCCUUUCGAUUUUGUUACAUGCCGUGGUGGUGAGUUUUAUGUGAAUUUUUUCAUGUGUUGAUUAUGCAUUUGCGUUGUUACCAGAUAUUCGCUGUUCCUGCUUGGUGGUCAUUGAAUGAGAAUUUUUUGACAGUUGUGGGAAUUGGGAAUUGAUUUUCUUUUUAUGGUCUUAGAUCUGUAGGUACUACUUGGGUUGUCCUCGUGUGGACAUCGCACAAAUGUGGGGUAAGGGGAAUGUUGGUGGUCAGAUUGGGUAAGCAAUGUUAAGUUCGCUAAUUUUAAUAGAUUUGAAAUUUUUUUAGGAUGACCAUUCGACUUGGUUGAUAAUUGGGAUAACAUGGUGCUAUGUCAUCCUCUUGACAGUGGCUGGUGUUAUGUUCUGACAAUUGAAGUAUCCACGAAGUAACCGAGUAGUUUUACAUGGUUUACUUGGCAUCCGUCUUAGUCGAAGAGUUUGACAAAAUGGGACUGACGUGUUAGAUGUAGAAAUAUAUCCUUUAUGUUGAAGACGAUUCCGAAGAUAUUCUUUUACUAAAAUUAACAGUACAUCCUUGUCAUAUUCUUUGGCCCUGUUUUACUUGACUUGUGAUAAGCCUGUGUUGUGGCAGGCCGUUCGGUGGUUAUAAGAGAAAUACUUGGGAGUGAUGUCCGUUGUAUGGACAUGAUGUGUACUCCAUUUGUAAUGUUAUCAGGGGGAUGAAGGGUCCAAGUUCAAUGCAAUCAGCGUGGAAAGAGUAUUUUCACAUGAUAGAAUUUAUGUAAAAAUGUUAAUGUGGAAAUUUCUUUAUUCGUAAAGUCUCAUGUUGUAUUAUGUGUUGGAAAAAAUCCCUGAUAAUCGACACACCACACUUAUUUCUUGUUAAUAACUUGUUUUUUAAAUGUAUAUCGAAUUGAUAAUAAACAUAAUUUCAAAUAUAA